RNAcentral lists this long non-coding RNA (1992 nucleotides) under Sus scrofa (pig). RNAcentral describes it as "lncRNA (ENSSSCG00005035248.1)". Lineage: Eukaryota; Metazoa; Chordata; Mammalia; Artiodactyla; Suidae. The record is from RNAcentral.
UCAAAUGUGCAGGAAAUAAUUAUUCUACGAUGUCUUUGCCAGUCUUUUGAGCCUGAAUCACUGUUGAGACCUUAUUAAACAAUGUAAUGGCUUGGCUCAGAAAAUAAUUUUAUGACGUCUUUUAAUUCAAGUUUCUUAGUUUUUACAGUUCAAGUACUUUUCAGACUACUCUGGUUCUCUUCCAAAUUUAUAUGUGAGAUUCUUGAUAGGAGAGAAUUGUAAAUACAAUAAGGAACAUCAGCCUUAGCAUAUUUGUUAAUGUUUAUUUGGCCCUCUGGGAAAUAGGCCAGUAAAUUUUUAUUGUUUACUUUGAGGGGUUAUUUUAGUGAAAGUGACCCAAAUCAAAUCAAAACAUUUAAAUACCUACCCCUUGGGUUAUGGAUGAAGUGCAUAUGGAAACCACCCAAGCUUUAGGUGCUGCUAUUAGUGACAGAAAUAGUAACUGCUAACACAUUGUUUAUUCUUUGCCAGAAACUUUUAUAUUUGAAAAUACAUUCAAGGAGUUUCCUAGUGGCCUAGCAGUUAAGGACCCAGUGUUGUCACUGCUGUGGCACACGUUAGACCCCUGUGGCCAAAAAUAAAAUCCAUUCAAUUCUUGUAACCACUUUAUGAGGGAGAUGUAUCAUUAUUCCCAUACUAUAAGGUAAGGAAACGGAGUCACAGGGUUAAAAUAGCAUACCUAAUGCCGCAUAACUAGUAAGGGGAGGAGUCAGGACUCAAGCUCUGGUAAUUUGAUUGCAGAACUCACACUCAGUAAUUACAUCUACAACCUCUGUCCUAUAGUUAACAAGAGGUAGAGGAGACAAAAUUAAAUAUUAAGCCCUAAAAUGUUCAAAAUGAUAGUGAUACCUUCCAAAGAAAGUCUUAAAGUUAGGUUUGUAUGUGAAAGUACCAUACUAAGCACAAAUUAGUUUCUCACAUAUUCCAUGAUGGUACUACUGUCCCAUUGUAAGGAGGCAUGCUCUGACAAGUGUUUCGGUAACACAGGAUGUGGGAUGUUUAUGUGUUCUUGUCCCUCAGUGUGUAUGUGUGGUCCAUGGAUAUACUUGUAGCUAUAUGAAUUCAGUCGGCCUUUAAUAGUGUCCUCCCCUGAGAAAACUGUCCAGAAUAAAGCCACACAAUCUAUAGGUCACACUUGGUUGUACUGUUUUUGAGGUAUCAGCAUCAAACAGCAUUGUCAUCUCACUUUACAUGUCUCUGGAAGCUAAUCAAAAUCUAAAGGAAAAUUGACCUUUUGUAACUAAAAGACCACAAACAAACUAUACAUUUAAAUUGUAAACUUAGUUUGCAAAUUACCUAUCCCUAAGCUAUCAGAUAUACCAUUUUCUUAGUAUUUCAUGUCAAUUUAAAGAAUUGGACUUCUGGCAAAGCUUAAUAAUCAUUAACUUCUUUCUGUCUUACAGAGCAAUUCCAGGCAGUAUAUAGCAAGCUCUUACACAGCCUUCAGACAUACUCUUGGGUAUUACCUCAGAGAGGCAACCUCGUCCCCCCGCCAUUUCACAUACACAGAAAAUUGAUAGCUCCCGUUUCUGUUUUAUCAACCCUGUAGUCGUUUCAUUAUUGCUUAUGUGGCCUCAUAAUUGUGAUUAUUUUCUUCCUUAUUUCUCUAAGAUUAGCCUGUAAGCCUAAAAGGCUUGAGCCCAGGCAGUUAUCUUAACUUAUUUGGUGACUAAUGUAGUAAAUAGAGCCAGUGACUUCACAUAGCACUCAGUAUUAUGUUAGUUCCCUUCCUUACUAUGGAAUACAUUGAUACCAAUAUUAGUAUGACUACUCAAAACAACUUACUUUUUAGAUAGCCAGAGUUAGACCUUACUUUUCAGUGGAAUUCUCCUAGUCUCAAUUAAGUCAAAUCUAUUUCCAGAUUACCAAUAUCACAUUUUCAUUGAAGGAUCAGAUGGAAAGAGAAAUGAAAAACAUGAAAUAGUUCUUGCCAGGCACUUAUUUUGACAUCACCACUGCCCCCACCAAAAAAAAAAAAAAAAAAAAAAAAAA